This is a long non-coding RNA of Jaculus jaculus (lesser Egyptian jerboa), 170 nucleotides long. RefSeq lists it as uncharacterized. Lineage: Eukaryota; Metazoa; Chordata; Mammalia; Rodentia; Dipodidae. The record is from RefSeq and is a predicted model, not a curated record. The transcript has 3 exons.
GGCUAUUUGAAACAGCAGAAAAGGAAAUCUUAGAUAAUUAUGGACUAAAGGUGUUGUGACCUGUUGUCAUCCUGGUGUGUACUACAUGUGGACAUGUUGGUACAGCCUGCCUAGCUUCAUCCAUUUUCACCUGUGGGUGACGUGCGGCACGAGGCAGAGCGUAAUGACCC